CUAUAAAACGAAGGCUACGUACGUAGAAGCUCCAGCGGAAGGUUUUCGGACGCGGGUUCGACUCCCGCCGCCUCCACCA
This 79-nucleotide transfer-messenger RNA is filed under the name Deltaproteobacteria bacterium HGW-Deltaproteobacteria-13. Its description in RNAcentral is "partial transfer-messenger RNA". It matches the Rfam family "transfer-messenger RNA", at positions 293 to 374 of the family's 374-position model. From Rfam's summary of the family: Bacterial tmRNA, also known as 10Sa RNA or SsrA, is named for its dual tRNA and mRNA-like properties. Its role is to liberate the mRNA from a stalled ribosome. The record is from RNAcentral. Lineage: Bacteria; Deltaproteobacteria.